AUGCCCCCUCCCCCACCCCACCAUCACGCCUCACCACCGCCGCAACCCACAAGCCAGAUCGGGAAGGGGAUCGCCAGACCUAGGGUUUCGACGAAAUCGAUCUACAUGGAGAAGGAGGCUUCGAUCCCGAUUGACAAGGAGGAUUCGAUCCAGACGGAGAAAGAGGCGGCGCCUGCUGGUGGUGCUGCGACCCCCGAUUGGUUGAGGCUCGACCUGUAUCUGGUUGAUGGAUACGGGUUCAAGGAGCAGAGGAUGGUGAAGAUGGACCAUCGGAACGGCUACAUCAAGUGGCUGCUCGAGUGGGACAAGAAGCCGCGCCCUCCCCUGCCCAACCUCCCCGAGGAGUGCCGCGAGGCCAUGGACGCCAUCAAGGCUCAGCGCGACCACGACGAGGGGGUCCUCGCCGGCUUCAAGCGCGACGGCUACGCCUACGUCCAGGUCGAUGUCUUCAACGACGACGACCCAAGGGCCAACCUCCCCGACCACCACUACGACAUCAUCCACGACGACAGCGACGAAGUAGGCCAAGAAGCGGAACGCAUCCUAGGCCGUCUCUAA
RNAcentral lists this ribosomal RNA (558 nucleotides) under Triticum aestivum (bread wheat). Its description in RNAcentral is "partial small subunit ribosomal RNA". The record is from RNAcentral. Lineage: Eukaryota; Viridiplantae; Streptophyta; Magnoliopsida; Poales; Poaceae.